This 161-nucleotide unclassified non-coding RNA is filed under the name uncultured fungus. Its description in RNAcentral is "sequence contains ITS1". Lineage: Eukaryota; Fungi. The record is from RNAcentral.
AAAAAGAGAAACGCCCGUUUUUUCAUAAGAAUGGGUUCUAUUCCCUUAAACCGUGUCUACAUACCUUUGUUGCUUUGGCAGGCCGCCCUCGGGCGUCGGCUCCGGCUGAUAGUGCCUGCCAGAGGACCCAAACUCUAUGUUUAGUGAUGUCUGAGUACUAU